This 2381-nucleotide long non-coding RNA is filed under the name Nicotiana tabacum (common tobacco). RNAcentral's name for it is "long non-coding RNA (NTAB_LNC019130)". Lineage: Eukaryota; Viridiplantae; Streptophyta; Magnoliopsida; Solanales; Solanaceae. The record is from RNAcentral.
CCAAUAAAUGAAAAAAAUGUGGAAAGUUAUAAUUUGAGUUGCCCUUGUUCCACGAGCAUGGUGGUUCAUCAAAAGAUGUAUGUACAUGUUGUAAACUCAAAAGCUAGCUGUAGUUAAAGAUUCUUGCUGCUGAAACUUUUCAAACUGAUUCACAAAAGCAAAAAGGAAAAGAGAAAUGUAUCACAUUAGCAUAUAAUAGUUGCUCAAAUAUCAACUUUACUCGAAAAAGAAUGGAAGUUUUUCUCCACUAAUCAAGCAAGUAGCUAAAUAAAAUUAAGCAGAAGCAAAAUGUAUCACAUUAGCAGAGAUAUUUAUCUCUGCUCAAACAUGAGAAGCGAAACGUAACACACUGACAGAGAUAAUAUAGCUUUUCAAGCAAAUCAACUUUACCCCAAAAGAUCAAUGAAGUUUCUUCUCCACUAAUCAAGCAAAUACCUAAAUAAAAAUAUAGUUGGACAUAUCAUGAAUAAUUGAAUUGUAAAGACAGCUACUAUAUUGAGUAUUACUACUACUACACUAAUUUUCAAUUACUUGCAACAUAUUGACAAAUUAUGAAAAACUUUUUAAGUUUUUUUUCCAAAGAGCAGAACAAAGUCAAAGAAGGCGAACUAUCAUCAUUUAAGAAAUCCUAAGAGAAGCAAACCCAGUAAUUUAAGUUAAAUUCGAAAGAAUCAGUUAUAAACAUUUAAACCUUAGUGGUGCCAUGAUUAGUACCUACUUAGUACCUCUGGGCUCUGGACUACACGGUUAGGCAAGAAUAACCAUGACAUAAACUGAAAUAAUGCAUGUUUUCUAAGGUUAUUGUUAAAUCUUUUACCGUUACUCAAUAAUUCUUUUAAUAGACAGUUAGAUGCUAAUACUUUAAAAUAUAGUAUAUGAGGGGUAUCCUUCUGCAGCUCAAGAACUUAAUGAACUAAUUUCUUCACUACAUAAACAAGUUGGUUAACUAUAUUGUAGCACAUUCAAUCUAGAUCAAGAUAGUUGUGCACUAUUCAAUCAUCAUAUGUUCAAUCCAAAUAUUUCAAAUAUAGCUGCAGACAAAGAUACUAAAAAUUGAGUUGUAUAUCUCUGAGAGAAAAAGCAACAAUGACUCCCAGUUGAAUAACUUUUUUUAUAUUCUGCUUUACUUCUGAAACUUUCCCACCAGAAAAGAAUAUAUGUGGAGUAUUAAAUCCUUUUUCACAUGACCUUAGAAGCACAAAAUGUUCCAAUCAAGACAAUGCUUUAAGUAGUAAAUAUUGUACAUAUCAGUUUUUAUGAUUUUUAAAUUUAUUAUGAAAUUAUUCUAAUAUAAGUUAACCCCUAGGUUGAGUUCACUAAUAACAUUAGAUACGACCAAUAGUUCUUAUUCAUCUUAGGAGAAGAUGUAACAAAGGUAGUGCAGGAAACGAAUGUACCACUCUCCAAGUAUUCUUCAAUGAUCUUGCAAAUGACCUUAAUAUCCUCUGUACUUGGUAAACCCUCAUUUUGCAGCUGGAAUUUUCAGCUUUUUUCUGUGGCCAGCUAUUUUCUGAAUCCUGCAGCGAUAUAAUUCUUGCCUCUAUGCACUCGGCUAGAGUAGAGGAAAUUCAAGUCCAGAACCGAGUAAAUAUUAAAAACCUAAAUGGCACAUAUAAAGUUUGGCUGUCCCCAUAUUAGUGCACAUAAUACUUGUAAAAGCAAAAGCUAGAGCAUUUUCACUUGUUGCGUUCAGUUUCAAAAGGAAAUAAUUCCUCACUUACUUCAUAUAGGUUCUUUUUCUAGCAGAGCACAGAAUUACUUUGUGUCUGUUGUAGGUUCGCGUGGUCCUUUUGUACAGGUUCAUCAAGUUGUCUUUUAGUGGUGGAAUGCAGACUGUCAAGCAAAAAUUAACAAUUAUUUCAAGCUGCUCCUAUUAUGAUUUGUGGUAGCUAUGGAUGAGAAGGAACACUGUUAUGUAUGGUGGUACAAUCUCCUUCAAAAGGACGAUACAUGAACUCAACAUAAACUUAUAUAACCUAGCUAAAGUUAGGUAUCCUUGGCUGUAAAAUAUACCUGUUCUUUGGCCAGAUUUGAUUCAGUUCUUUGAAGGGUGCAGAGUAGUUUUGGGAUGCAAGGUGGUGCAAUAACAUUUCACUCAAGAAGGAUGGUUCAAGUGUAAUACUGAUGAAGCCUCCAGGGGAAACCCAAGCCCAAGCUCUGCUGCCUUUUGUGUGAGAAAUAGUGAUAGAGAUCUUGUGCAUGCCAAGGCAAGGAGGCUAGGUAGUACUACUGUAGACAUGUAAUUUUUGACCCUUCCCAAGAUUUUAUACAUUUUUAGCGUAAAUAUUUAGUUUAAUUUUAGUAUCGCUCUCUUUACUUUAUUUUAUCACAAAAAUAAAAAUUACAAAAAAUACUUUCUCUUAUUUAGCUAAUUAAUAUUU